GAUUAACGCUGGCGGCGUGCCUAACACAUGCAAGUCGAACGAGGUAGCAAUACCUAGUGGCAGACGGGUGAGUAACGCGUGGUCAACCUACCCUAGAGUGGGGGAGUAACUAGCCGAAGGUUAGCUAAUACCGCAUGAACGUAGCCGGGGCGAUCUCGGAAUGUUGAAAGGAGCAAUCCGCUCAAGGACGGGACCGCGUCCCAUUAGCUAGUUGGUGGGGGUAACGGGCCUACCAAGG
RNAcentral lists this ribosomal RNA (238 nucleotides) under uncultured bacterium. Its description in RNAcentral is "partial 16S ribosomal RNA". It matches the Rfam family "Bacterial small subunit ribosomal RNA", at positions 28 to 273 of the family's 1533-position model. The record is from RNAcentral.